RNAcentral lists this ribosomal RNA (119 nucleotides) under Amphiprion percula (orange clownfish). The record is from RNAcentral. Lineage: Eukaryota; Metazoa; Chordata; Actinopteri; Pomacentridae.
GUUUGUUUCUGAGACUGGAAUACACCCAAUCUCAUCUGAUCUGCAAAGCUAAGCAGGGUUGGGCCUGGUUAGUAUUUGUGGAUGGGAGACUACCUGGGAAUAACCAGGUGCUGUAAGCU